This 413-nucleotide long non-coding RNA is filed under the name Ananas comosus (pineapple). RNAcentral's name for it is "long non-coding RNA (ACOM_LNC018737)". The record is from RNAcentral. Lineage: Eukaryota; Viridiplantae; Streptophyta; Magnoliopsida; Poales; Bromeliaceae.
AAUUAUACUGAUAGUUUUUUUUUCCUUUUUUUUUUGAGAAAAAGAUAGCAAGUUAUCUGAUUCAUUCAUUAAAUAAAAUAAACUGAGAGUAUAUAAUGAAAGCAGCUUAGGCCUUCGAAAAAAAUAUGCAAAGAAGGGUUAGGAAAAAAAAAAGCGAGAUAGUAAAGAAAGAGGGGGCGAGGGGAAGGCGGACUAUCGUCUUCUUACAGCAGCGCAGCCUAGUUCCUUGUCAGGAGGUUGACACGUUCUAGUGACCGGUUAGCGUACGUUGACCGAAAUUUUCUGAAAAACGGAGUUGUUUCUAUCCCUCUAGACCAACCAUCAUAUUGCUGCCAUAAGGGUUAGGCCUUUAGAUCUCAUCAGUUCAACAGAAAUGUCGGAGAUUCUAUCCCAGAGAUUUCGAACGUCGCACA